Molecule: ribosomal RNA, 425 nt
Filed under: uncultured bacterium
Lineage: Bacteria
Description: partial 16S ribosomal RNA
Rfam family: Bacterial small subunit ribosomal RNA
Source: RNAcentral
GUGAGGAAUAUUGGACAAUGGAGGAAACUCUGAUCCAGCCAUGCCGCGUGAGUGAUGACGGCCUUCGGGUUGUAAAGCUCUUUCGGGUGUGAAAAUGAUGAUGGUAACACAAGAAGAAGCCCCGGCUAACUCCGUGCCAGCAGCCGCGGUAAUACGGAGGGGGCGAGCGUUGUUCGGAAUCACUGGGCGUAAAGCGUGCGUAGGCGGUUAUACAAGUCAGGAGUGAAAUCCCAGGGCUCAACCUUGGAAUUGCUUUUGAGACUGUAUGACUAGAGGUCUAGAGAGGUUGGGGGAAUUCCGAGUGUAGAGGUGAAAUUCGCAGAUAUUCGGAGGAACACCAGUGGCGUAGGCGCCCAACUGGCUAGAUACUGACGCUUAGGCACGAAAGCGUGGGUAGCAAACAGGAUUAGAACCCCCUGUAGUCC